This is a non-coding RNA of Mesocricetus auratus (golden hamster), 73 nucleotides long. Lineage: Eukaryota; Metazoa; Chordata; Mammalia; Rodentia; Cricetidae. The record is from Rfam.
GCAGAGAUGGCUCAGUAGUUAAGAGCACUGGCUGUUCUUCUAGAGGAUCUGGGUUCAAUUCCCAGCCACCACA